AUAGUGUCAGUAUUUUUCAAAUAAGCAUUGAAUGCGGUAGCGUUGAAAUAAAAGCGGCUUAAAAACUCCAAAGCAAAGAAUAACUAAAGGAGAAAAACAUGUUUUUCGAUUUGUUGCAAGGUUUAUUGGAUAUGAUUUUGGGCUUGCUGCCAUUUGGUGGUGGUGGCGAUGGCGGUGAUGACUCCGAAGAGUCGUAAUUAUAUUUCCAUGCCAAAUGCUCAUCGAAUGUUCCAGACCUCAAUUUUAACUAUACGCCUGAGUGAUUUUGGCUUGUUUGAGUCAUCCAUUUCAUUUAUUUUCAUAAACAUCAACGAUUUAGUCAGAAACUGGAAAAUUCCCUUACAUUGUCCCCGCAAUGGACCAAGUUAUUGAGAUGUUGGUUGAUUUUAUCAACAAUUUUUUUCGAGUCGUAAGUGGAAUUUCAGCAGCUGGGUCACCUACGUCAGGCGAUGAACCAGAUUCUGAUGAAGUUGAAAUCAUCAACUCCAAAUCCUAAUACACCACUUGAUGUUAUAUUCAUAUAUAUAUAAUCUUUAUAUGU
Long non-coding RNA from Stomoxys calcitrans (stable fly), 541 nucleotides. RefSeq lists it as uncharacterized. The transcript has 3 exons. Lineage: Eukaryota; Metazoa; Arthropoda; Insecta; Diptera; Muscidae. The record is from RefSeq and is a predicted model, not a curated record.